GUGUAUUCUCACAUAACAUAAACCAUUUUUUUAGUUUUAUGAACAUUAACUAUAAACAUUAUGAUAAUUAUUAAAUUUUGGUGUUUUCUUCAUAUGAAAAUACAAGUCACGUAUAGACAGACCAUAUGAUGUCUGCUGCAGACGUCAGUGCUACCUAGGCCAGAGGUGAACUUGUGGGCUGUCCUAUAUUCACUGAGGCUCCUCUGCUAUAUGUAUGAGCCAGCUUGGUUUCUGAUUUGUUUUUGUUUGUUAUCACUGUGACAAAUCAUCUGAGAUAAUUAAGUUACAAAGAGAAAAGGCUUAUUUUGGCUCAAAUUGAUGGAGGUUCUAGUCCACAAAGCCUGUGGUUGGACCUGUCAUGAGGUAGCAACUCCCGACAGGAGAAGACAGAAGAACAUAACUAGUGUGCUCAUUAGCCAAAUCACAAAGGUGAUUAAGAGACUUUAGCCCCACAGUGUUUCAAAGGCAGCCUUCAACAGACAUAGGAACUAUCCAUUGGCCUCCAUCUUCCAGAUGUUUCACCACCUCUCAAUAGCACUACAGAGGGGAUCAAGCUCUUAAUACAGGACCUUUGGGAGACAUGCCGGAAUCCAAACUAAAUAUCUAGUCAAUCUCAAAUCUGCUUUUCUGGUUUACCAUUAAGAAUUAUAAUGGACUUAAUUGCUGAAUUUGUAAAUGAUAGUUGCUAGAAAUACUGGUAAUACCAGAAAUCACAAAAAUUGGGUAAUUAAUUUUAGGCACAGAUAAUGGUUUGUUUCAUUCAUAUUCAACAAACAUUUUGAAAUUCACUUAAUAAGGCCCAACCAGAAUUUAGUGUAUUGGAUAUAUUUCAUUAAAAAAAAAUCAUCAUAGGGUCACUUAUAUCUUUUACUUUAAAAUUGUAUUAUUCAUAAGGUAAAUAUAUUCUAAUACCAUUUGUGUAUUGUAUACUAUAUGGUCAAGAAUACUAAGUUGUUGACAUAUUUAGAAAGCAUACACUUGAAUUUAAAUAUCUAAUGCCUCAAGCAAAUCUACUAGUUUCAGAAGAAUAUAUAUUUUUGUAACUGCAAGAAUAUGAGUAGAUCAGCUUUUGCUUAAAAUAUUUUUGUAAGCACUCAUUUACAUAAUACUCAUUUUUAAUAGUAAAAUUGAUUCUGUAGAAGUAACUGUUUUGACUAUGUCUAUAUUUAAUAUGAUAUAAUAUCCAAAAUUCAAUGAUAAAUUUCAUCUAAAUGUAUUGUUAGCCCUUUUUCCUUUGUAAAAUAGUCAUGUAACAUAGUUUCAGUCAUUCCAUAUUUGUGUAUGGUUAAAUUUGUUAAAGUUCAUUAUGUAUUUUGUAUCAUUCGUUUUAUCCCACAUAAAAGUUUGGAAAAGUAAUGUUAUCUGAUAAAUGUCAAAAAUAAUAAAGUGAAUUAUAGAGUGAGCUU
This 1406-nucleotide long non-coding RNA is filed under the name Rattus norvegicus (Norway rat). RNAcentral describes it as "long non-coding RNA NONRATT022989". Lineage: Eukaryota; Metazoa; Chordata; Mammalia; Rodentia; Muridae. The record is from RNAcentral.